Ceratobasidium sp. 414 is the source of this 72-nucleotide non-coding RNA. NCBI's taxonomy places the organism in Eukaryota, Fungi, Basidiomycota, Agaricomycetes, Cantharellales, Ceratobasidiaceae. The record is from the annotation of a GenBank genome assembly.
AGCUUCUUAGCGCAGUGGAAGCGCGCGGGGCUCAUAACCCCGAGGUCGCCGGAUCGAGACCGGCAGAAGCUA